Molecule: ribosomal RNA, 120 nt
Filed under: Colletotrichum gloeosporioides
Lineage: Eukaryota; Fungi; Ascomycota; Sordariomycetes; Glomerellales; Glomerellaceae
Also listed under: 1 other name
Source: RNAcentral
ACAUGCGACCAUACCCACUGGAGAACUCGGGAUCCCGUCCGCUCUCCCAUCGAUAAACCAGCGAGGGCCGAAGUAGUAGUUGGGUCGGAGACGACCAGCGAAUGCUCGGUGUUGCAUGUG